This is a long non-coding RNA of Pungitius pungitius (ninespine stickleback), 324 nucleotides long. RefSeq lists it as uncharacterized. NCBI's taxonomy places the organism in Eukaryota, Metazoa, Chordata, Actinopteri, Perciformes, Gasterosteidae. The transcript is spliced from 3 exons. The record is from RefSeq and is a predicted model, not a curated record.
AGGGGGGGAUAUAUGGUCUUCCAUCAGUCAGGAGAAGGGGGUGGUGAAGCAAGCUAUGACCUCUGGUUCACAGAUGGCCAAGAUGGGCGAACAGCUCAAGAGGGACCUCAAACGGCAACCUACAAGACAACUCAGUUCUACUCCUGCUAGAUAUGAGUCUGAUUCCGACGACACAUGUUGAUAUUUUUGAUCCACCCAAAAAACGAAAAAUGGUGAUUAACACCAGUGAGGAGGAGGAGGAGGACGCCAUCCCUCAGGCGGAGUCUCAGCGGCCAGGGACAGUGCUUGCAGUUUUUGUUGAGUUGGAUUAGGACAGUUUGAAGG